Molecule: non-coding RNA, 131 nt
Organism: Caenorhabditis elegans
Lineage: Eukaryota; Metazoa; Nematoda; Chromadorea; Rhabditida; Rhabditidae
Source: Ensembl
AUGCAAAUCAACUACGAGGCGCGAACAAAGUGUAGCGUGCCGUGUUGUCGGAGGUGACAAGCCACGGGGGGAAUGAAGAAGUGCUGGUGUUCCGUGAGGUGCUGUUGGCAGUGAGCUUACUCUCAUAAUUA